This 584-nucleotide ribosomal RNA is filed under the name uncultured bacterium. Its description in RNAcentral is "partial 16S ribosomal RNA". It matches the Rfam family "Bacterial small subunit ribosomal RNA", at positions 355 to 1375 of the family's 1533-position model. The record is from RNAcentral.
UGGGGAAUUUUGGACAAUGGGCGAAAGCCUGAUCCAGCAAUGCCGCGUGUGUGAAGAAGGCCUUCGGGUUGUAAAGCACUUUUGUCCGGAAAGAAAUCCUUGGCUCUAAUACAGUCGGGGGAUGACGGUACCGGAAGAAUAAGCACCGGCUAACUACGUGCCAGCAGCCGCGGUAAUACGUAGGGUGCAAGCGUUAAUCGGAAUUACUGGGCGUAAAGCGUGCGCAGGCGGUUUGCUAAGACCGAUGUGAAAUCCCCGGGCUCAACCUGGGAACUGCAUUGGUGACUGGCAGGCUAGAGUAUGGCAGAGGGGGGUAGAAUUCCACGUGUAGCAGUGAAAUGCGUAGAGAUGUGGAGGAAUACCGAUGGCGAAGGCAGCCCCCUGGGCCAAUACUGACGCUCAUGCACGAAAGCGUGGGGAGCAAACAGGGUUAGAUACCCUGGUAGUCCACGCCCUAAACGAUGUCAACUAGUUGUGGGGAUUCAUUUCCUUAGUAACGUAGCUAACGCGUGAAGUUGACCGCCUGGGGAGUACGGUCGCAAGAUUAAAACUCAAAGGAAUUGACGGGGUCAUAGCUGUUUCCU